CGCAGAUCAGUCUUUAAAUAUCCGUUCGUCUUAGUGGACUUCAGUCAAUCGACUUUUGCUCUUGCAUUAGUUGCCGACAUAUUAAAUCAACGAUUUGUACACACUUUUAUACAUAGAAAAUCAACGAGAUGAUGCAAUUCCUAAUUUUAUCAAUAUUUUUAAUGUCAAUACGAAGUUCUUUGGGACAGGGUGAAUUAUCCCCAAACCCGACCACUUGUGAACCAGUUGCAUUCACGUCUAGUGAACCCUUCGAAGGAAAAGUGUUUUUGUAUCCUUGGAGAACCGAAGAUAGAAAAGGUGACUGGUAUUACAACCGAGCAUAUUGUGCUAAACAUUGCGCUGAAAUGGUUACGCUACACAACGAAGCGGAGAACAACUUUUUCUAUAAUUUUAUGUACCAAGUUGGUAUGAGGUCCCAUGGUGUUUGGCUCGGAGCACAAGUCAGAGACAGGCAUCAAUUCACUCACUGGCAUAACAACGAAGUGGCAUCCUAUCAGCCAAUUAUGCCCGGAGAGUAUGACCAACAGGGCCUAACAUGUCUUGAUAUGAGCUUUUUCCCAGGAGAACGUAAAUGGAGAAACUGGUUCUGUGCUGGAUCUAUAGAAAGCACCAAUCAUCACAUAGCAUGUCAACGAAAAAAAUCAUGCAAGGAUAGUUGAUUCGUUUAACGAAAUCGUCAAAAAUGUGUAUCACUUAGCAGGAAGAUCGAUUUCAUAAUAAAACUAUUUAAAACUGAAAAAUCCGU
This is a long non-coding RNA of Bradysia coprophila, 745 nucleotides long. Lineage: Eukaryota; Metazoa; Arthropoda; Insecta; Diptera; Sciaridae. The record is from RefSeq and is a predicted model, not a curated record.